Ictalurus punctatus (channel catfish) is the source of this 1954-nucleotide long non-coding RNA. Lineage: Eukaryota; Metazoa; Chordata; Actinopteri; Siluriformes; Ictaluridae. The record is from Ensembl.
AGAUUUGACAUCAGUUAUCAUGAUAUCAAUAUUAUAUCAUCAUAUUGUCCAGUCCUACUGCUUAACAUAGAUUUUGUUAGUGAUUUUUGUAAUAUUGGCCUUUACAGUACUCACAUCUUGAAGCCUGUAGUAUGAAAAGAAGCACCCACAAGUAACUUUAUAUAUAUAUAUUACAAGGCAAGGUUCUCUGGUUUCCUGCCACAUUCCCAAAACAUGCCAGUAAAUCAAAUAAAAUUUUUAUUUGCCACAUACAUAACCAUACGUACUAUGACAUGCAGUUAAAUGCUGUUUACGACCACACCGAUAUAUAAAAGAGAAUAAAAUUAUAUAAACUAUAAUAAAGAGGUGUAGGUGGAUUGUCUAUGCUAAAUUGCCCCUAGGUGUGAAUGAGUGAAUGUGCCCUCCCUGUAAUACACCAGUAUUCCAUGAUGUAGGAUGUAUUCCCCCCUCUUCUGUCUAAAAUGUGAAUUGCAAUUGCAGUGACAAGCCAGACCUUACCCUCCAACUGACCUGAAACUUGUAUGCAUCAUGAGCCUUAGCAGUUCUGUUCCAUGUGGGGGACGGAGCUCAUUUCUGGCCCGGAAAAGAUGAAAUGGAAAAAAACUAGCUAGCCAGACCCUGUCAUGGAAAUAUUGUGAAUUGCAGAUUUUUUUUGAAGUAUAUUUAGAACGAUAUGUUUGGAAUAGAUCUGGUAACACUCUUAAACCUUACAAACGGUAAACUCCUCUGUUGCUGCUCCCAAGCCUGGACGAAAACGGAAGGAGCGAGGGGGGGUUGGUUUUCUGCCGAGGGGCUGCAAAACAAAACAUUGGGAAACUACUCUGGAAUGCCAAGAAGUGCCAUGCUUGAUUGCCAACCAUGGAGAAGUAUUGGAAAGCCAAGAAUGCCUGGCAAUGUACUGGCUCCAAGGUCACCCUCAUUCAGAUGCUAACUAGGGACCAAAACAAAGAAACAAACUGCCCCUUUAACCGAUAAACAACACAUAGAACAAAGUCUAUGUUCUUGGCACAGCUCAGCAAUCCUGUCCGAGAUGCAUGGCAGGAGAACCGGGCCAUAUAAAUCAUAUCAUGCAGAGGUAUUGAUCACAAGGUCAGACAGGUCCUGGAGAGGAUGAAUAAGGAAGCAGACUGCACGGAUCGCUGGGAGUGGAGGAGCAGCCUGCACUUUGGCCAGUUCAUAUCACAGCCCAUCUUGUGCCUUAUUUAUAACCACAAGUACUUGACUUCUCAGUUCUAAUGUAGCCUGUGUGUGUGUUUUUAAAAUCAGCACUUAAAUGACUGCUGAUUUAAUGUAAGGGCUGGCCACAGGUAUUUACUAGUAAUUUCAGGUUAACACAUUCAAUAUGAGUGCUAAUUUAAGUACUACUACAGUGUAGUUUGCAGGGCAUUCAAUGAUUUUAAAGAAAUCUGUAUUUCAUUGAAUUCAUUUGUGUAUUUAGUAUAGACCAAAUGUGUUUCAAAUUAUUACUAUAUCUUGUUUAGUUUUUUUUCCAAAAGUAUUACACAAUGCAAUGAUGCAUUUUUAGGUGAUUUUGUAGAAAUAUUUCAAAGGGAAUGUUUUAUUAAAAACAGGAAUAGCCAUUGAAUUUUCUUGUUUUUAACCAGUUCCAUUAAUUUAGUUAUAAACUGUAUAAUAUUGUACUGUGUGUAUAUACAGUAGAGAUUGGUCCUUGUAAAAUCUGGCAAGUGGUUAAAUUUGCACUGAAACCCAUUGUUUGAUUAUAAAGGCUAUUUCCCCCCAUUUCUUUCAUUUUUUUGUUGUUGCAUUUUUAACAUUUAAAAACAGUAUUUACAUGCUGAUGUUAUUUUUUCCUGUUGCAAAUGCUGUUAUGUGAAUAAUUACUUGUGAACAUGAGGGAAAAAUCACAGAUAUAUUUUUUUUGUAACAAUUUAUAACAAUGUAAUUAUGUAACACUUUACAUAAAGUCUAAUUUGAGUAACAUGUUGUUUGCUGU